UACAGAGGGGGCAAGCGUUAUUCGGAAUUAUUGGGCGUAAAGGGCGCGUAGGCGGCUUGGCAAGUGGGUGGUGAAAUCCCUCGGCUUAACCGAGGAACUGCCAUCCAGACUGCUUUGCUUGAGGCCGGGAGAGGUGAGUGGAAUUCCCAGUGUAGCGGUGAAAUGCGUAGAUAUUGGGAGGAACACCAGUGGCGAAGGCGGCUCACUGGACCGGUUCUGACGCUGAGGCGCGAAAGCGUGGGGAGCAAACGGG
RNAcentral lists this ribosomal RNA (253 nucleotides) under uncultured bacterium. Its description in RNAcentral is "partial 16S ribosomal RNA". It matches the Rfam family "Bacterial small subunit ribosomal RNA", at positions 524 to 776 of the family's 1533-position model. The record is from RNAcentral.